AUGACAACCACUGAAGUGCUCCUGGGACACAUUAACAUCCAGAAGAGGAAUUCUGCUGAAAAUACACCAUCUAGUGGUGCCACCUGCUCGGCUUCUGAAAAAUAGUGUUAUUAAUUACAGAUGCUGUAUUAGUUUCCUAAGUCUGCUGUAACAAAUUACCACAAACUUGGUGACUUAAAACAACAGAAAUUUAUUCUCUCACGAUUCUGGAGACCAGAAGUUCAAAAUACAGCUGGGACCAAAGGCAUCUCUAGGGAAGGAUACAGUCCUUGCUUCUUCCAGCGUUCUGCACAAUCCACGACAGCAAGAAGACAAAGGCUUUGUUACAACAGAACAGAGCGGAGACAUCAGUGGCCGUCAGCUUCUUUAAAGCCAGUAAAUAAAGGUAAUUAGUCAAAGUCCAUAGAAUAGAAAAGGG
Long non-coding RNA from Rhinopithecus roxellana (golden snub-nosed monkey), 418 nucleotides. RefSeq lists it as uncharacterized. The record is from RefSeq and is a predicted model, not a curated record. The transcript has 3 exons. Lineage: Eukaryota; Metazoa; Chordata; Mammalia; Primates; Cercopithecidae.